Molecule: ribosomal RNA, 492 nt
Filed under: uncultured bacterium
Lineage: Bacteria
Description: partial 16S ribosomal RNA
Rfam family: Bacterial small subunit ribosomal RNA
Source: RNAcentral
AGUGAACGCUGGCGGUAGACCUAACACAUGCAAGUCGAACGGCAGCACAGUAAGAGCUUGCUCUUACGGGUGGCGAGUGGCGGACGGGUGAGGAAUACAUCGGAAUCUACUUUUUCGUGGGGGAUAACGUAGGGAAACUUACGCUAAUACCGCAUACGACCUACGGGUGAAAGCAGGGGAUCUUCGGACCUUGCGCGAUUGAAUGAGCCGAUGUCGGAUUAGCUAGUUGGCGGGGUAAAGGCCCACCAAGGCGACGAUCCGUAGCUGGUCUGUGAGGAUGAACCGGCCCACUGGAACUGAGACACGGUCCCGACCCCUAAGGGAGGCAGCAGUGGGGAAUAUUGGACAAUGGGCGCAAGCCUUAUCCAGCCAUACCGCGUGGGUGAAGAAGGCCUUCGGGUUGUAAAGCCCUUUUGUUGGGAAAGAAAAGCAGCAGGUUAAUACCCCGCUGUUCUGACGGUACCCAAAGAAUAAGCACCGGCUAACUUCGUG